UUUGAAUAUUGCCUUUUGGCUAAGAUCAAGUGUAGUAUCUGUUCUUCUCAGUUUAAUAUCUGGAACUACUGUCAAGUGGUUCAGCAUUGGGUCCACUGUUGGUAUUGCAGUGGGCAAGAUCCUCCUGCCUGCUGCCUCUCCCAUUUUGCCCUUGAUUCAGUGACAGUUUAAUUGUCCUGUGGCACACAUUU
This is a small nuclear RNA of Candoia aspera, 191 nucleotides long. RefSeq annotates it as U2 spliceosomal RNA. Lineage: Eukaryota; Metazoa; Chordata; Lepidosauria; Squamata; Candoiidae. The transcript has a single exon. The record is from RefSeq and is a predicted model, not a curated record.